Molecule: ribosomal RNA, 436 nt
Filed under: Chromodoris magnifica
Lineage: Eukaryota; Metazoa; Mollusca; Gastropoda; Nudibranchia; Chromodorididae
Description: partial 16S ribosomal RNA
Rfam family: Bacterial large subunit ribosomal RNA
Source: RNAcentral
AGCCUUUGGAAAGGAUUAAAGGUUAUACCUGCCCAAUGUUAUAUUAAUGGCCGCGGUACUUUGACCGUGCUAAGGUAGCACAAUCAAUUGGCCCUUAAUUAGGGUCAGGUAUGAAUGGAGUUACGGGGCUUAGCUGUCUCUAGACUAUUUAAUUGAAGUUGCUAUAUAGGUGAAAAAGCCUGUAUUAAGAAAAAAGACGAGAAGACCCUUAGAGUUUUACUUAAAAAAGAGUUAUUUCUUCACUAGUUUUGUUGGGGCAACAUAGGAGAAGAACUAAACCUCCUAAAGGGGAUAUAAACCGAUGUUUUUAAAUGUGAAUAAACUACCUUAGGGAUAACAGCAUAAUUUUAAAAAUAAGUUUGUGACCUCGAUGUUGGACUAGGAAACUUAAGGGCUAGCCGCCUUUUGGUAAGGUUCUGUUCGAACUAUAAUUCCU